GAGCCUGAUGCAGCGACGCCGCGUGAGGGAUGACGGCCUUCGGGUUGUAAACCUCUUUCAGCACGGAAGAAGCGAGAGUGACGGUACGUGCAGAAGAAGCGCCGGCUAACUACGUGCCAGCAGCCGCGGUAAUACGUAGGGCGCAAGCGUUGUCCGGAAUUAUUGGGCGUAAAGAGCUCGUAGGCGGUUUGUCGCGUCUGCUGUGAAAGCCCGGGGCUUAACCCCGGGUGUGCAGUGGGUACGGGCAGACUUGAGUGCAGUAGGGGAGACUGGAAUUCCUGGUGUAGCGGUGAAAUGCGCAGAUAUCAGGAGGAACACCGAUGGCGAAGGCAGGUCUCUGGGCUGUUACUGACGCUGAGGAGCGAAAGCAUGGGGAGCGAACAGGAUUAGAUACCCUGGUAGUCCAUGCCGUAAACGUUGGGCACUAGGUGUGGGGGACAUUCCACGUUUUCCGCGCCGUAGCUAACGCAUUAAGUGCCCCGCCUGGGGAGUACGGCCGCAAGGCUAAAACUCAAAGGAAUUGACGGGGGCCCGCACAAGCGGCGGAGCAUGCGGAUUAAUUCGAUGCAACGCGAAGAACCUUACCAAGGCUUGACAUACACCGGACCGGUUCAGAGAUGUUCCUUCCCCCUUGUGGGGCUGGUGUACAGGUGGUGCAUGGUUGUCGUCAGCUCGUGUCGUGAGAUGUUGGGUUAAGUCCCGCAACGAGCGCAACCCUCGUUCUAUGUUGCCAGCACGUGAUGGUGGGGACUCAUAGGAGACUGCCGG
Molecule: ribosomal RNA, 768 nt
Filed under: Kocuria salsicia
Lineage: Bacteria; Bacillati; Actinomycetota; Actinomycetes; Micrococcales; Micrococcaceae
Description: bacterial SSU rRNA
Rfam family: Bacterial small subunit ribosomal RNA
Source: RNAcentral